AAAUUCAAACACGCUGUGGCGAUCUCAGACUCAGACAACGACACCAUAUUCGAGUGCCUGUCUACAAAGCGAUUGGGCAUUGAUCCACAGACCCUAACCGGCACUUAUGAAUUCUUAUUGCCGUCAUCUGGGCAUGUGCUUUUGUUCUACGUCCGGCCAGGAGACACUCCUGGUACAAUAACUCUGACGUCAGACUUAGAUCCUAACCCUAAGGAAGGAAUCAUAUACUACACAGACUAUAAGGACUGUGUUGUGGCAGAUCUGGAGUUGCAAGGGGAUGGACAUCAGUGCACCCUGUGGACACGAGCAAGAGUGAAGAACAACAUACCGCAAGACUGCAUCGACCAAUUUGUGGAUGUCUGUGGAGUAGUAGUUCCUGCACACAGCCGAGACUUGUGCGCGGACGCCGAUGACGAAGAUUAGCUCCAGGAUCUGGUUUUGUAAAUGCGUAUACCACCACAAAUUCAACGUCUUGCAUACAUUCGGCACUGAGUGAGACCGUUGUGCUUGGCGGGAGCUUAUUGGUGUGAAAUGUUUUAUGUAUUCGUAGUCUGUAGAGCAAAGGGCCAAACGUUUUCACAAUAAAAGCCAUUUAACAUAC
Molecule: long non-coding RNA, 601 nt
Organism: Rhipicephalus microplus (southern cattle tick)
Lineage: Eukaryota; Metazoa; Arthropoda; Arachnida; Ixodida; Ixodidae
Source: RefSeq, a predicted model, not a curated record